This 253-nucleotide ribosomal RNA is filed under the name uncultured bacterium. RNAcentral's name for it is "partial 16S ribosomal RNA". It matches the Rfam family "Bacterial small subunit ribosomal RNA", at positions 524 to 776 of the family's 1533-position model. The record is from RNAcentral.
UACGUAUGGGGCAAGCGUUGUUCGGAAUCAUUGGGCGUAAAGGGCGUGUAGGCGGCUUUGUAAGCUUGGUGUGAAAUAUCACAGCUCAACUGUGAGGGUGCGCUGAGAACUGCAAGGCUUGAGUCUUGGGGGGGAAGCUGGAAUUCCUGGUGUAGGAGUGAAAUCUGUAGAUAUCAGGAAGAACACCGAUGGCGAAGGCAAGCUUCUAUCCAGAGACUGACGCUGAGGCGCGAAAGCGUGGGGAGCAAACAGG